CGAAAAGCUUUGUACCGACAUAUUGCUUCAUCAUAAAGAUCUUUAGCACAUCCUCCGGCCUUUGGUUCUCACAAUUGCACCAAGAUCGGGCUCAUCUAGAGUUUUGAUGCCAUGAUCACCUUUGGUAUUUCUGAUUGCACAGAGGUUCUCUGUGUUGAGUACAAGCCCACGAAGAAGCAAAGACGUACAAAUUUAUGUGAGUUUUGUAACGAUGGACCAGCAGGUGGACCAAGUGAGAGAUCAGUCCCUACGUGACGAAGUUUAAAGUUAGCAAGUUUCACAUAUGCAUAGCUCAAGAUAUAAUCUUUGAUGCAUCCUAAUCUUUUUUGAAAUAUUGUGAUGUAUAUUCUAGUUAUUCUUAGGAUAUCAUUUUGGUAGAUUUUAAGUAAACAUUAGAUAUUAAUUGUAUGCACUCUUAGUGGUAUCCUAAUUGUAUUAGGAAAAUAUUAUGAUAAGAUAUUGUGAGAUGUACUUUUCUAUCA
Long non-coding RNA from Beta vulgaris subsp. vulgaris (sugar beet), 482 nucleotides. RefSeq lists it as uncharacterized. The record is from RefSeq and is a predicted model, not a curated record. The transcript has 2 exons. Lineage: Eukaryota; Viridiplantae; Streptophyta; Magnoliopsida; Caryophyllales; Amaranthaceae.